Molecule: ribosomal RNA, 426 nt
Filed under: uncultured prokaryote
Description: bacterial SSU rRNA
Rfam family: Bacterial small subunit ribosomal RNA
Source: RNAcentral
UGGGGAAUUUUCCGCAAUGGGGGCAACCCUGACGGAGCAACGCCGCGUGGGGGAGGAAGGUCUGUGGAUUGUAAACUCCUUUUCUCAGGGAAGAAGCUCUGACGGUACCUGAGGAAUCAGCAUCGGCUAACUCCGUGCCAGCAGCCGCGGUAAGACGGAGGAUGCAAGCGUUAUCCGGAAUUAUUGGGCGUAAAGCGUCCGUAGGCGGUUUUUCAAGUCUGCCGUUAAAGACCACAGCUUAACUGUGGGCCGGCGGUGGAAACUGAAGAACUGGAGUAUGGUAGGGGUAGAGGGAAUUCCCAGUGUAGCGGUGAAAUGCGUAGAUAUUGGGAAGAACACCAGUGGCGAAGGCGCUCUACUGGGCCGUAACUGACGCUGAGGGACGAAAGCUAGGGGAGCGAAAGGGAUUAGAUACCCCCGUAGUCC